CAAUAGCGUAUAUUAAAGUUGUUGCAGUUAAAAAGCUCGUAGUUGGAUCUCAGGCGCAGGCGGGCGGUCCGGCUCGCGCCGGCUCACUGCCCGUUUUUCCUGCCCUACUGUCUGCCGGCUCUCUCCCGCGGGUGCUCUUCGCUGAGCGUCCCGGGUGGCCGGCGCGUUUACUUUGAAAAAAUUAGAGUGUUCAAAGCAGGCUUUAUCGCCUGAAUAAUGGUGCAUGGAAUAAUGGAAUAGGACCUCGGUUCUAUUUUGUUGGUUUUCGGAACUGGAGGUAAUGAUUAACAGGGACAAACGGGGGCAUUCGUAUGGCGGCGUUAGAGGUGAAAUUCUUGGAUCGCCGCUAGACGAGCUACUGCGAAAGCAUUUGUCAAGAAUGUUUUCAUUAAUCAAGAACGAAAGUCAGAGGCG
RNAcentral lists this ribosomal RNA (414 nucleotides) under Mollusca sp. MM00361. RNAcentral describes it as "SSU rRNA". It matches the Rfam family "Eukaryotic small subunit ribosomal RNA", at positions 592 to 998 of the family's 1831-position model. RNAcentral also lists the same sequence under 1 other name. The record is from RNAcentral. Lineage: Eukaryota; Metazoa; Mollusca.